GGGGUUGUAGUUAAUAAUAACGUUUAAUUUGCAAUUAAAAAGAACUAAUUUUAGUCUUCCUC
This 62-nucleotide transfer RNA is filed under the name Chorosoma macilentum. Its description in RNAcentral is "tRNA-Ala". Lineage: Eukaryota; Metazoa; Arthropoda; Insecta; Hemiptera; Rhopalidae. The record is from RNAcentral.